This 326-nucleotide ribosomal RNA is filed under the name Diderma meyerae. RNAcentral describes it as "bacterial SSU rRNA". It matches the Rfam family "Eukaryotic small subunit ribosomal RNA", at positions 80 to 350 of the family's 1831-position model. The record is from RNAcentral. Lineage: Eukaryota; Evosea; Eumycetozoa; Physariida; Didymiaceae.
UCUGAAUCUGCGUACGGCUCCGCAAACCAGUUGUAAACCAAAGCAAGCAUACUCGGGGUUUGCCCUUCACGGGGUCGGCUACGGGUGAUACGGGUAACCCUGGUAAUUCUGAGGCUAAUACGAGAAUGUACUCCCUGGCUAACCGGGAAACUGGUAGGCUGGGGGGCGUGUUAUCUAUUUACAAGCCGAUUCCAGGAAGGGGUGCACGCUCUGACCGCGACAAAGACAGUUCUGACGGACCCUCACGGGCGAGUCGGUUCUGAGCGGCUCUUGCGAAGUGCUUCUGACCUAUCAACUAGACGGCAGCGUAACGGACAUGCCAUGGU